Small nuclear RNA from Pan troglodytes (chimpanzee), 107 nucleotides. NCBI's taxonomy places the organism in Eukaryota, Metazoa, Chordata, Mammalia, Primates, Hominidae. The record is from Ensembl.
GUACUCACUUUGGCAGCACAUAUAUUAAAAUAGGAAUGAUACAGAGAAGAUCAGCACGGCCCCUGCACAAGGGUGACAUGCAAAUUCAUGAAGCAUUCCAUAUUUUU